GUUCAGUAUUGUUGAAGACGUAGGGUGUUUAGAGGAAGAAAAUGACGAACACCUAUGGGACACCCAAAGAGAGAGUUCUGGAGAGGAAGGCAAGAACUCAGGGCAGAAGACAGAAAUUUGGAAGAAUGCAUGAUGAAGAAAGACCAUUUCUCAGCUAGGACAGAGGGAAGGGGACACUGGUUCGAGCACUGGCCUGGGAGGAUCCCAC
Long non-coding RNA from Balaenoptera musculus (blue whale), 208 nucleotides. RefSeq lists it as uncharacterized. NCBI's taxonomy places the organism in Eukaryota, Metazoa, Chordata, Mammalia, Artiodactyla, Balaenopteridae. The transcript has 3 exons. The record is from RefSeq and is a predicted model, not a curated record.